Molecule: unclassified non-coding RNA, 205 nt
Filed under: Hevea brasiliensis (rubber tree)
Lineage: Eukaryota; Viridiplantae; Streptophyta; Magnoliopsida; Malpighiales; Euphorbiaceae
Source: RNAcentral
CACUAAAUUAAAUUUGUAGUGUUAUGGAGACACACACACACAUAUAUAUAAAACAGUUAAUUGAUAUAGUGACAAGUGCACUGAAGUAGUGUAAGGGUUUGUUUGGAAGUGAUUUUGAAACUACUAAAACCAGUUUGGUCAUGUGAUGUUCAAAAUACUCUCAUACAUGACUUUAUAUCUCCCUAACUAAACUAAAUAGUGAAGG